CAAGUAGAUGUUCAACUUACUUGCAUAAGACCAAUUUGCCUUAGAAAAGUGCAAACCAUAAACUAUAAACGCAAGUACAACUUACUUCCCAUAUUAACUCUCCAAUUACCCGGAGAAAGAGUAAAAACAUAGAUUUUCCAGUAAUUAUGAAGAGAAAUACAGGAGACAACAACACACAUCUAGGCAUGUUCACACCCACCAAAACCAAUUAAGAUUUUCAAUUUUUCCCUCAUGUUGAGAAUAGAGUAUAACGGGAAAGUGAAAUGGAAUUCAAUGUUAUCACAUUUGUUUAUUGAAGAAAGCUACGUCAAACAUCAAUAGUAAACAUCAAGCCCAAUGUUAGCAGAAAUAUGAUUCUAUCCAUGAACUAUAAACCCUCAAUUUUGCAAUGUGUAUGGAUUAAAACAUCCCUAAACCUAAGUAUGAGAUUACUCUAUCCAACAUCGAAAAAAAAAAAAUGGUCCCUUACCUACUUAAAAACAUUCACUUAUUAUUUAUAUUCAACAAACAAUAAACCUCAUUAUUUAUAUCAAUAAAAUAUAUAUAAGCCACAUAGAAUUAAAUUCGAACCAACUCUUUAUUUAAGAAUCAAAAAUUUAAGUAAAACCCUUAGCGUUAAAUCGAUUUUUUUUCCUCAUAACAUCAGAAUCCAAUUAAUUAUCAACAGUUGCUAGUGAAAUAUCAAAACUUUUUGGAGAUGAAAAAUUCUCAGCUACAACCAGGCCGGAGGCCCAGAUGGCAAGUUCUCUUCCCCAAAAAAACACCCAAUCUCUCAGAUACACAAAAAUUCAUUUCUCACCACAUUGCCCACUCGUUCCUCAUUGAAGACAUCCCAAAUUAUCAUAAUAAAAAACAAAUAAACAACAAACUUGCAUGGAAAGCGUACAGAUCAAUCAGGCUUUGAAGGAAAAUGCACGAAAUAGGUUUUACCCAAUUAAUAAAUAUCCACAAAUAGAGAAAAAAAAUCAACAAAAUAUAUAAAUAAAAUCAAUUUUUUUGUAUAAAAACUAAAUAGG
This 1016-nucleotide long non-coding RNA is filed under the name Olea europaea subsp. europaea. The record is from RNAcentral. Lineage: Eukaryota; Viridiplantae; Streptophyta; Magnoliopsida; Lamiales; Oleaceae.